UUAUCUGACUAUUUCUACUAUACACUAAGAUUCUUAUCUACAACAGAGCUUGCUUUUGUCCUUUACCAGCUCUGUUACCUUCUCUCCAUGAGUUCAUUCACUUGCAAAAUUUGAUCUGCCAGAUCCAAAUGCAAGUUCGUGUAUCAUAAUUUAGCUAAAAUAUGAGCUCACGAAUAGCAAUAUCAAUGGGUCCAUCAUCCCCACCAACCGCAUGAAGCGCAACAGGAAUUGUUGAAAGAAGAUGCACAGUGACGGGGAAGACUAAAGGGUCAAUCUCACACUCUGAAACAGGAUCUACAUGUUGGGAUGCCAAAUUAUUCUUGUCUAAAUGUGUGGGACUGCACUCAUUUGCAAUCUUUCCAACUGCGCCAGGUUCCACAUUCAGGUUGCAUGGAUUUACAACCCAUGCAAUCUCAUUAAGUGCCCUGUAAUUACCAAGGCCAGCCCUUCUAAAUGUUCGUUUGUAGGCACAUAAAUUUAGCACCAAUGUUGAUGUAGCCUCAAGCCAUUCCACUGUCAAGCCUUCAACUUCCUCAUAAUAUAUCCUCCGUUCAAUAGCUAGUUUUUGGAUAUAAAUGGACAUAAACCUUGGUCCAAGACCCAAAACUCUUGCUUCUGACAAUAAAACCUCUUUCUUCCUCAGCAAAACCCACAUGUAUAGCUUAUCACAGGCAUCCUUUACAUGCCUACUAGCAAGCUUUCUAUCAUUGCAGUAAGAAGCAACAGCUGCAAGUAACUCCGUGCAGGGAACUUUAUACUUGAUUGCUGCAGCUGAUAAUGCUUCCUUGCCUUCCAAGGAUUCUGCUGCAUCUUUAUCAAAGUAAAUACCAGU
RNAcentral lists this unclassified non-coding RNA (832 nucleotides) under Hevea brasiliensis (rubber tree). Lineage: Eukaryota; Viridiplantae; Streptophyta; Magnoliopsida; Malpighiales; Euphorbiaceae. The record is from RNAcentral.